GACGAACCGUGCGAACGUUGUUCGGAAUAACUGGGCUUAAAGGGCGCGUAGGCGGGCUGCCAAGUUCGGGGUGAAAUCCUCCCGCUCAACGGGAGAACUGCCCCGAAUACUGGCGGUCUCGAGGGAGGUAGGGGCGUGCGGAACUAUGGGUGGAGCGGUGAAAUGCGUUGAUAUCCAUAGGAACUCCGGUGGCGAAGGCGGCACGCUGGACCUCUUCUGACGCUGAGGAGCGAAAGUGUGGGGAGCGAACAGG
This 253-nucleotide ribosomal RNA is filed under the name uncultured bacterium. RNAcentral's name for it is "partial 16S ribosomal RNA". It matches the Rfam family "Bacterial small subunit ribosomal RNA", at positions 524 to 776 of the family's 1533-position model. The record is from RNAcentral.